RNAcentral lists this ribosomal RNA (253 nucleotides) under uncultured bacterium. RNAcentral describes it as "partial 16S ribosomal RNA". It matches the Rfam family "Bacterial small subunit ribosomal RNA", at positions 524 to 776 of the family's 1533-position model. The record is from RNAcentral.
UACGGAGGGGGCUAGCGUUGUUCGGAAUUACUGGGCGUAAAGCGCACGUAGGCGGUCUGUUAAGUCGGGUGUGAAAUCCUGGGGCUCAACCUCAGAAUUGCCUCCGAUACUGGCAGUCUCGAGUGCGGGAGAGGUGAGUGGAAUUCCCAGUGUAGAGGUGAAAUUCGUAGAUAUUGGGAAGAACACCAGUGGCGAAGGCGGCUCACUGGCCCGUAACUGACGCUGAGGUGCGAAAGCGUGGGGAGCAAACAGG